This is an RNA transcript of Amborella trichopoda, 1810 nucleotides long. It is a transcript of the gene named Ribosomal protein L1p/L10e family, with no coding region annotated. The record is from RefSeq and is a predicted model, not a curated record. NCBI's taxonomy places the organism in Eukaryota, Viridiplantae, Streptophyta, Magnoliopsida, Amborellales, Amborellaceae.
CUCUCUCUUCCCAAACGAGGAGAGCUUAAUUGAAGUAGUAAUCAUAAGAGCGACGAUUUUAAAACCUUAUCACCGGUGAAGAAGGCGUUCGCUUCACCUCCUCCCUCCUUUCCGGGAAACAGACGACACAGAGGAUAGAUAGUGUAGAGAGAGAGGAACCAGAGAUGAUGGGUUGCCUUAUCCCGAGUGCGACACCAGUGGACACAGCAUGCGCCUGCUUUGUUCGGCAGAGAAUGGUAGCAUCGCUACCUAAAACCCAACUUGUUUCUUUCUCUAGUGCUGUUCCCCAAUUUCAUCAAUGGGAGAGGAGAGAGAGAAGUAGAACAUGGCCUUCUCUCUCUAUGUAUGCUGCUGUUGCGGUGCCUGUAAUGGGGGGCAGGCUGUGGGCUGUGGAGGCUGUUACUGAUACGGUGGAAACACCAACUUCCCAAGAAGAAGGAGAGGAGGAAGAUGAUGGUGAAGAAGGAGAAGGUGCUUCUCUUCCCACUCCUCCCACUAAGCUGAAGACGGGGAAGGCCGCAUUGCCACUCAAAAGAGAUAGACGUCGGUCCAAAAGAUUCCUAGAGAUUCAGAAAUUGAGAGAGAAUAAGCAGGAAUAUGACUUGAGAACUGCUAUAUCCCUCCUUAAGAAGACUGCAAACACAAAAUUUGUAGAGACUACUGAAGCUCAUUUCCGGCUCAACAUUGAUCCCAAAUACAAUGACCAACAACUCAGAGCAACAGUGAGUUUGCCAAAGGGCACUGGUCAGACUGUUAGGAUUGCUGUUCUUACCCAAGGAGAGAAGUUUGAUGAAGCAAAAAAUGCGGGAGCUGAUAUAGUUGGUGGAGAAGAAUUGAUCCAGCAGAUAAAAGGUGGCUUUAUGGAGUUUGAUAAAUUGAUUGCUUCUCCGGACAUGAUGCCCAAGGUUGCUAGUUUGGGUAAACUUCUUGGACCACGGGGGCUAAUGCCCAAUCCCAAGGCUGGAACUGUUUCAACUAACAUACCUCAGGCUAUAGCAGAAUUCAAGAAAGGGAAAGUUGAAUACCGAGCCGAUAAGACGGGGAUUGUUCACCUUCCUUUUGGGAAGGUUGAGUUUUCUGAAGAAGAUCUUCUCAUAAACUUGAUGGCCGCAAUUAAGUCAAUAGAAGCAAACAAGCCCAGUGGUGCCAAGGGAGUUUACUGGAAAAGUGCUCAUAUAUGUUCAUCAAUGGGCCCUUCCAUUCGAUUGAAUGUUAAGGAGAUGGUUGACUACAAACUUGCAGGAAAUGUGUGAUGUCAGUCAUUUCUUUAUCUAUCAUAUCUGCCUACUAACAUGUAAAUCAGGGACUUCAUUUUGUAUUAUAUGUGAGUGGGAAGGAAGUUGGCCAAGGACUUGCAUUUCUCUAGAUAUUGUAUCUCCACUUAAGCAUAGUUGCAUGCCAAUGAAGAGGGAGCAUCCUCUCUGCCUUCAAACAAAUUUUUUUUGGGUGAGAAUGGAGUCUAAGAAUGGAGCCCCCACACCCUUUAGUGAGAAUGGAGUCCAAGACUUCAUCAUGUGGCUCGGCCCUACUACUGCCAAGGCUCCAGCCCAAUCUCCUCUUCCUUCAAACAUUAGCAUUUGUAAACCUUGCGUUUGUAAAUGUAUGUGCUACCAUUUUAUAGUAGGGUCCGUCUGUAGAUAUUUGUGCAAAUUUAAGUGUUUGGAAGUGGUUUCUACAAUGUAUACCCUAGAAGUGAAAUUGGGUUACUAUUUAAACCAAUUUAAGUCCCCCUGGUUUAGAACCUUGUAUAAAGAGAAAUAUAGGAAUAAGCAAAGAGGGGAGGUUACAUGCUCCCUAUGUUCAGGUAUUA